AUACUUACCUGGUUGAAAAUAUAAGUGAUCACUAUCAGGCUUAUAUUUUGCAUGGAUUUUAGACCAUAGCACUCCGGUUUGGUCUGUGUAUGAUUUUCUAUACAGAAAAUUCAUCAACCUAAUUUAUCAAGUGGUGGAAUUUGCGUUCGCGCAGAGUCCACU
Molecule: small nuclear RNA, 162 nt
Organism: Dictyostelium purpureum
Lineage: Eukaryota; Evosea; Eumycetozoa; Dictyosteliales; Dictyosteliaceae
Rfam family: U1 spliceosomal RNA
About the family: U1 is a small nuclear RNA (snRNA) component of the spliceosome (involved in pre-mRNA splicing).
Source: Rfam